GGUUAAGCGACUAAGCGUACACGGUGGAUGCCCUGGCAGUCAGAGGCGAUGAAGGGCGUGCUAAUCUGCGAUAAGCGCCGGUAAGGUGAUAUGAACCGUUAUAACCGGCGAUACCCGAAUGGGGAAACCCAGUGUGAUUCGUCACACUAUCAUUAACUGAAUCCAUAGGUUAAUGAGGCGAACCGGGGGAACUGAAACAUCUAAGUACCCCGAGGAAAAGAAAUCAACCGAGAUUCCCCCAGUAGCGGCGAGCGAACGGGGAGGAGCCCAGAGCCUGAAUCAGCAUGUGUGUUAGUGGAAGCGUCUGGAAAGGUGCGCGAUACAGGGUGACAGCCCCGUACACAAAAGCGCAUGUGCUGUGAGCUCGAUGAGUAGGGCGGGACACGUGGUAUCCUGUCUGAAUAUGGGGGGACCAUCCUCCAAGGCUAAAUACUCCUGACUGACCGAUAGUGAACCAGUACCGUGAGGGAAAGGCGAAAAGAACCCCGGCGAGGGGAGUGAAAAAGAACCUGAAACCGUGUACGUACAAGCAGUGGGAGCACAGGUUUACCUGUGUGACUGCGUACCUUUUGUAUAAUGGGUCAGCGACUUAUAUUCUGUAGCAAGGUUAACCGUAUAGGGGAGCCGUAGGGAAACCGAGUCUUAACCGGGCGUUAAGUUGCAGGGUAUAGACCCGAAACCCGGUGAUCUAGCCAUGGGCAGGUUGAAGGUUGGGUAACACUAACUGGAGGACCGAACCGACUAAUGUUGAAAAAUUAGCGGAUGACCUGUGGCUGGGGGUGAAAGGCCAAUCAAACCGGGAGAUAGCUGGUUCUCCCCGAAAGCUAUUUAGGUAGCGCCUCGUGAAUUCAUCUCCGGGGGUAGAGCACUGUUUCGGCUAGGGGGCCAUCCCGGCUUACCAACCCGAUGCAAACUGCGAAUACCGGAGAAUGUUAUCACGGGAGACACACGGCGGGUGCUAACGUCCGUCGUGAAGAGGGAAACAACCCAGACCGCCAGCUAAGGUCCCAAAGUCAUGGUUAAGUGGGAAACGAUGUGGGAAGGCCCAGACAGCCAGGAUGUUGGCUUAGAAGCAGCCAUCAUUUAAAGAAAGCGUAAUAGCUCACUGGUCGAGUCGGCCUGCGCGGAAGAUGUAACGGGGCUAAACCAUGCACCGAAGCUGCGGCAGCGACGCUGAUGCGUUGUUGGGUAGGGGAGCGUUCUGUAAGCCUGCGAAGGUGACCUGUGAGGGUUGCUGGAGGUAUCAGAAGUGCGAAUGCUGACAUAAGUAACGAUAAAGCGGGUGAAAAGCCCGCUCGCCGGAAGACCAAGGGUUCCUGUCCAACGUUAAUCGGGGCAGGGUGAGUCGACCCCUAAGGCGAGGCCGAAAGGCGUAGUCGAUGGGAAACGGGUUAAUAUUCCCGUACUUGGUGUUACUGCGAAGGGGGGACGGAGAAGGCUAUGUUGGCCGGGCGACGGUUGUCCCGGUUUAAGCGUGUAGGUGUGUGUUCCAGGUAAAUCCGGUUCACUUUAACACUGAGGCGUGACGACGAGGCACUACGGUGCUGAAGCAACAAAUGCCCUGCUUCCAGGAAAAGCCUCUAAGCAUCAGGUAACACGAAAUCGUACCCCAAACCGACACAGGUGGUCAGGUAGAGAAUACCAAGGCGCUUGAGAGAACUCGGGUGAAGGAACUAGGCAAAAUGGUGCCGUAACUUCGGGAGAAGGCACGCUGACACGUAGGUGAAGUGAUUUACUCAUGGAGCUGAAGUCAGUCGAAGAUACCAGCUGGCUGCAACUGUUUAUUAAAAACACAGCACUGUGCAAACACGAAAGUGGACGUAUACGGUGUGACGCCUGCCCGGUGCCGGAAGGUUAAUUGAUGGGGUCAGCGCAAGCGAAGCUCCUGAUCGAAGCCCCGGUAAACGGCGGCCGUAACUAUAACGGUCCUAAGGUAGCGAAAUUCCUUGUCGGGUAAGUUCCGACCUGCACGAAUGGCGUAAUGAUGGCCAGGCUGUCUCCACCCGAGACUCAGUGAAAUUGAACUCGCUGUGAAGAUGCAGUGUACCCGCGGCAAGACGGAAAGACCCCGUGAACCUUUACUAUAGCUUGACACUGAACAUUGAGCCUUGAUGUGUAGGAUAGGUGGGAGGCUUUGAAGUGUGGACGCCAGUCUGCAUGGAGCCGACCUUGAAAUACCACCCUUUAAUGUUUGAUGUUCUAACGUGGACCCGUAAUCCGGGUUGCGGACAGUGUCUGGUGGGUAGUUUGACUGGGGCGGUCUCCUCCUAAAGAGUAACGGAGGAGCACGAAGGUUGGCUAAUCCUGGUCGGACAUCAGGAGGUUAGUGCAAUGGCAUAAGCCAGCUUGACUGCGAGCGUGACGGCGCGAGCAGGUGCGAAAGCAGGUCAUAGUGAUCCGGUGGUUCUGAAUGGAAGGGCCAUCGCUCAACGGAUAAAAGGUACUCCGGGGAUAACAGGCUGAUACCGCCCAAGAGUUCAUAUCGACGGCGGUGUUUGGCACCUCGAUGUCGGCUCAUCACAUCCUGGGGCUGAAGUAGGUCCCAAGGGUAUGGCUGUUCGCCAUUUAAAGUGGUACGCGAGCUGGGUUUAGAACGUCGUGAGACAGUUCGGUCCCUAUCUGCCGUGGGCGCUGGAGAACUGAGGGGGGCUGCUCCUAGUACGAGAGGACCGGAGUGGACGCAUCACUGGUGUUCGGGUUGUCAUGCCAAUGGCACUGCCCGGUAGCUAAAUGCGGAAGAGAUAAGUGCUGAAAGCAUCUAAGCACGAAACUUGCCCCGAGAUGAGUUCUCCCUGAGACUUAGAGUCUCCUGAAGGAACGUUGAAGACGACGACGUUGAUAGGCCGGGUGUGUAAGCGCAGCGAUGCGUUGAGCUAACCGGUACUAAUGAACCGUGAGGCUUAACCUU
RNAcentral lists this ribosomal RNA (2908 nucleotides) under Salmonella enterica subsp. enterica serovar Typhimurium. RNAcentral's name for it is "23S ribosomal RNA". It matches the Rfam family "Bacterial large subunit ribosomal RNA". The record is from RNAcentral. Lineage: Bacteria; Pseudomonadati; Pseudomonadota; Gammaproteobacteria; Enterobacterales; Enterobacteriaceae.